Molecule: ribosomal RNA, 466 nt
Filed under: uncultured Acinetobacter sp.
Lineage: Bacteria; Pseudomonadati; Pseudomonadota; Gammaproteobacteria; Moraxellales; Moraxellaceae
Description: partial 16S ribosomal RNA
Source: RNAcentral
GACUACCGGGGUAUCUAAUCCUGUUUGCUCCCCAUGCUUUCGCACCUCAGUGUCAGUAUUAGGCCAGAUGGCUGCCUUCGCCAUCGGUAUUCCUCCAGAUCUCUACGCAUUUCACCGCUACACCUGGAAUUCUACCAUCCUCUCCCAUACUCUAGCCAACCAGUAUCGAAUGCAAUUCCCAAGUUAAGCUCGGGGAUUUCACAUUUGACUUAAUUGGCCACCUACGCGCGCUUUACGCCCAGUAAAUCCGAUUAACGCUUGCACCCUCUGUAUUACCGCGGCUGCUGGCACAGAGUUAGCCGGUGCUUAUUCUGCGAGUAACGUCCACUAUCCAAGAGUAUUAAUCUCGGUAGCCUCCUCCUCGCUUAAAGUGCUUUACAACCAAAAGGCCUUCUUCACACACGCGGCAUGGCUGGAUCAGGGUUCCCCCCAUUGUCCAAUAUUCCCCACUGCAGCCUCCCGUAGG